GACCCCUUAGCUCAGCUGGAUAGAGCAGAGCACUUCUAAUGCUCCGGUCGCUGGUUCGAAUCCAGCAGGGGUCG
Molecule: transfer RNA, 74 nt
Filed under: Myxococcales bacterium
Lineage: Bacteria; Pseudomonadati; Myxococcota; Myxococcia; Myxococcales
Description: tRNA-Arg
Rfam family: tRNA
About the family: Transfer RNA (tRNA) molecules are approximately 80 nucleotides in length. Their secondary structure includes four short double-helical elements and three loops (D, anti-codon, and T loops).
Source: RNAcentral